RNAcentral lists this ribosomal RNA (738 nucleotides) under Streptomyces intermedius. RNAcentral describes it as "bacterial SSU rRNA". It matches the Rfam family "Bacterial small subunit ribosomal RNA", at positions 62 to 819 of the family's 1533-position model. The record is from RNAcentral. Lineage: Bacteria; Bacillati; Actinomycetota; Actinomycetes; Kitasatosporales; Streptomycetaceae.
UCGACGAUGAAGCCCUUCGGGGUGGAUUAGUGGCGAACGGGUGAGUAACACGUGGGCAAUCUGCCCUGCACUCUGGGACAAGCCCUGGAAACGGGGUCUAAUACCGGAUAUGACUGUCCGCCGCAUGGUGGAUGGUGUAAAGCUCCGGCGGUGCAGGAUGAGCCCGCGGCCUAUCAGCUAGUUGGUGAGGUAGUGGCUCACCAAGGCGACGACGGGUAGCCGGCCUGAGAGGGCGACCGGCCACACUGGGACUGAGACACGGCCCAGACUCCUACGGGAGGCAGCAGUGGGGAAUAUUGCACAAUGGGCGAAAGCCUGAUGCAGCGACGCCGCGUGAGGGAUGACGGCCUUCGGGUUGUAAACCUCUUUCAGCAGGGAAGAAGCGAAAGUGACGGUACCUGCAGAAGAAGCGCCGGCUAACUACGUGCCAGCAGCCGCGGUAAUACGUAGGGCGCAAGCGUUGUCCGGAAUUAUUGGGCGUAAAGAGCUCGUAGGCGGCUUGUCACGUCGGUUGUGAAAGCCCGGGGCUUAACCCCGGGUCUGCAGUCGAUACGGGCAGGCUAGAGUUCGGUAGGGGAGAUCGGAAUUCCUGGUGUAGCGGUGAAAUGCGCAGAUAUCAGGAGGAACACCGGUGGCGAAGGCGGAUCUCUGGGCCGAUACUGACGCUGAGGAGCGAAAGCGUGGGAGCGAACAGGAUUAGAUACCCUGGUAGUCCACGCCGUAAACGGUGGGCACUAG